UCUGCAGGACUGGAGACGAGGAGCUGAGAGGCCAGACCCUGGUGAAUGGAGGGAGAGAGUAAGUCUCUGGCCCGUCCUGGACACUGAGGCUCGAUUGCUCUCUCUCUCUGUCUCUCUGCCUCUCUCUCUCUCUCUGUCUCUCUCUGUCGGCCCCCGUGGUGGUGGAAGUUAGAGUUCUUUCAGUGUUAAACCCCGGUUCCUCUCCUCCUCCUCCUCCAACCCCUCUCGACCCCCCUUUCCCCUCCCCAAUCCUCUUGCCUCCUCCUCCUCCUUUCCCUGGUCCCUCCUCCACUCAACAGUCCUGGGGCUAGCGGCCAACGGAGCCAAGAGCGAGGUGGGAAAGAGGCGUAAGGGCAGAAAAGGCUUGUUGGCGAAAUCCCCGGCCACUUCCCGGCCCAGGGUCCGAGCCCUAGGAGUCGCUGCCCUGUGGGCCCAGCUGGCGGCCAGCCUCCCCACAAGGACGACGGCAACUCUCUCUCUGCUCUGGGCGGGCCGGUAAAGGAGGAGGCAAAGCCCCUGAGUCAAGUUGAAUUCUUCAGUUUCUACUUCUUCAAUUUGGAGAUUUCAGUAUAUGCAGAUAAGGAAACAACUGAGACCAGGAAAAGUAAAGCAUCUUCCAUCAAACACAAAUUCAUCUCGACAGUUCAUGUUGGGUUAAAAGGUGUCACUGAAGUUAUUCACCCAGACUUCUUGGUUUCUGUGGGAUAUUAAUAGGCCUAGCCCUUGUAAAAAAAAAAAUCAAUCUCUGAAGGACUUGCCUGACUGAUGAGAUUGCCCUAAUCCUUGAGGAAUAUGCACCUGGAUCUUAAGUGGGACCCUACUCAACUUGGAGACCUUAUUUCUGUUUAGAGUGUAAACAGAAUCCAUUCUGGGGGAAUUCUUGAUUCAAGGAAAUAAGCCCCUGUCCUUAUGCCCUCCAUUGGAGUUUAGGGUGACCCAGUUCAUAAAGGAGAAAACUAACUAGAGUGGUCUGGAUGGAGACGGAUUCCUCUGUCCAGAUUGCUGGAGGAGGCUGAGUCUUAUGAUCAAGCCACAUUCUCAGCAGGAGGGGCUGAAGACUUUUUAGCCCACCUCCUCAUUAAAUGUCCAACCAUUAGGGUUGAUUUCCACUUGUCAGGGGCAUUCCCUUUAAAAAAAAUAUUUAAGGCUUUCAGGUUCCCCAUGUUUUUGUAUUUGGUUUUCUGAGAGAAA
This is a long non-coding RNA of Vombatus ursinus (common wombat), 1191 nucleotides long. RefSeq lists it as uncharacterized. The record is from RefSeq and is a predicted model, not a curated record. NCBI's taxonomy places the organism in Eukaryota, Metazoa, Chordata, Mammalia, Diprotodontia, Vombatidae. The transcript is spliced from 5 exons.